UCGAGCGGUAAGGCCCUUCGGGGUACACGAGCGGCGAACGGGUGAGUAACACGUGAGCAACCUGCCCCUGACUCCGGGAUAAGCCGGGGAAACCCGGUCUAAUACCGGAUAGGACGUCUCGUCGCAUGGCGGGGCGUGGAAAGGUGUCUUUCCGGUCAGGGAGGGGCUCGCGGCCUAUCAGCUUGUUGGUGGGGUGAAGGCCUACCAAGGCGAUUACGGGUAGCCGGCCUGAGAGGGCGACCGGCCACACUGGGACUGAGACACGGCCCAGACUCCUACGGGAGGCAGCAGUGGGGAAUAUUGCGCAAUGGGCGGAAGCCUGACGCAGCGACGCCGCGUGGGGGAUGACGGCCUUCGGGUUGUAAACCUCUUUUACCACCGACGCAGGCCCGUGCUUCUGUGCGGGUUGACGGUAGGUGGGGAAUAAGGACCGGCCAACUACGUGCCAGCAGCCGCGGUAAUACGUAGGGUCCGAGCGUUGUCCGGAAUUAUUGGGCGUAAAGAGCUCGUAGGUGGCGUGUCGCGUCUGCUGUGUAAGUCCGGGGCUUAACUCCGGUUUGGCAGUGGAUACGGGCAUGCUAGAGGUAGGCAGGGGAGACUGGAAUUCCUGGUGUAGCGGUGAAAUGCGCAGAUAUCAGGAGGAACACCGGUGGCGAAGCGGGUCUCUGGGCCUUACCUGACGCUGAGGAGC
Molecule: ribosomal RNA, 691 nt
Filed under: Streptomonospora sp. YIM 92374
Lineage: Bacteria; Bacillati; Actinomycetota; Actinomycetes; Streptosporangiales; Nocardiopsidaceae
Description: bacterial SSU rRNA
Rfam family: Bacterial small subunit ribosomal RNA
Source: RNAcentral